Molecule: ribosomal RNA, 497 nt
Filed under: uncultured bacterium
Lineage: Bacteria
Description: partial 16S ribosomal RNA
Rfam family: Bacterial small subunit ribosomal RNA
Source: RNAcentral
GAUGAACGCUGGCGGCGUGCCUAAUACAUGCAAGUCGAGCGAACAGACGAGGAGCUUGCUCCUCUGACGUUAGCGGCGGACGGGUGAGUAACACGUGGAUAACCUACCUAUAAGACUGGGAUAACUUCGGGAAGCCGGAGCUAAUACCGGAUAAUAUAUUGAACCGCAUGGUUCAAUAGUGAAAGACGGUUUUGCUGUCACUUAUAGAUGGAUCCGCGCCGCAUUAGCUAGUUGGUAAGGUAACGGGUUACCAAGGCAACGAUGCGUAGCCGACCUGAGAGGGUGAUCGGCCACACUGGAACUGAGACACGGUCCAGACUCCUACGGGAGGCAGCAGUAGGGAAUCUUCCGCAAUGGGCGAAAGCUUGACGGAGCAACGCCGCGUGAGUGAUGAAGGUCUUCGGAUCGUAAAACUCUGUUAUUAGGGAAGAACAAAUGUGUAAGUAACUAUGCACGUCUUGACGGUACCUAAUCAGAAAGCCACGGCUAACUACGUG